ACUAGAAGAAUAGAGAAGCUAAUAACUACACUUUAAGCCUUUUAUUUAGAAAAAACCAACCGAGUUUUCUUUCUUUCUAUCUUGUUUCCUUGCUUCUCCUUUUAUUCUCUCUCUCUCUCUCUCUCUCUCUCUCAAACACACACACAAGAAACCACCUACAUAUACAUGCACUCCUUAAAUUAACAAAAGACCUAAAGAGAUAAAAUCAGAAGGACAUGGUGUUGAAUAAAAGAAGAGUUUGAAUUGAUGAACAAAGAUAGCAUAUUAUAUGAAUAAUUAAGAUGAGUAACAACAAUAACUUGAGUUGUGUAAGAAACUCUGAUCUCAUAGAUGCAAAGCUAGAAGAACAUCAAUUGUGUGGAUCCAAUCACUGUCCUUCUUGCGGUCACAACUUCGAAUCCAAACCGGAUUGGCUAGGUCUACCUGCAGGAGUGAAGUUUGAUCCAACUGACCAAGAACUGAUUGAACAUCUUGAAGCUAAAGUGGAAGCAAAGAAAAUGAAAUCACACCCUUUGAUAGAUGAAUUUAUUCCAACAAUUGAAGGAGAAGAUGGAAUUUGUUACACUCAUCCUGAGAAACUUCCAGGAGUAACAAAAGAUGGUUUGAGUAGGCAUUUUUUCCAUAGACCAUCAAAGGCUUAUACAACUGGGACAAGAAAAAGAAGGAAAAUUCAAAAUGAAUGUGACUUGCAACAAGGUGGAGAAACUAGAUGGCACAAAACAGGCAAGACUAGGCCAGUAAUGGUAAAUGGAAAACAAAAGGGUUGCAAGAAAAUUCUAGUACUUUAUACCAACUUUGGAAAAAAUAGAAAACCUGAAAAAACCAAUUGGGUGAUGCACCAAUACCAUCUUGGUCAACAUGAAGAAGAGAAAGAAGGAGAACUUGUUGUGUCAAAAAUAUUUUAUCAAACACAACCAAGACAAUGUAAUUGGUCAGAUAGAAGUGCAACAACUAUUGGUGAAGGAAAUGGUGAACCUAAUUAUAGAGAUGAGAUGUCUAAUGUUAAUGUUAAUGUUAAUGUUAAUGGUGUUACUCCAACAACAAGUUUCAAUCAUACCUUGGAUAAUGUUCAAGCUCAACAACUAAAAUCAGAUCAUUUCAGCUUCAUUCCUUUUAGAAAAAGCUUUUAUGAGGUUGGAAUAGGAGAAGCUUCAACGGCAAGUGAAGUGCAAGCAGCAUCAAGGUCAUAUGAAGAAGAAGUACAUGAAAGACACAAACAACAAAAUCAUCACAUUGCAACCUCAGCAUUCCAUAUCUCUCCACCUCCUCUUCACCAAACAUCAAUCAUCCUUGAUGAAAACUCCUACCAAGUCUCUAGAAUUAUGCUUCAAAAUGAACAUUUUCAGUAAAGUUGAGCAUGGAAAUGCAUAAUGUUUAUACACAUGGCAUAUGUAGCAACAACAACAUAAGCUAGGAAUAGGAGGAAGGUCUACUUCUUGUUUGGAGGAACUCAUCAUGGGUUGCACUUCAACAACUCAUCAUAUCAAAGACAAAGAGGAAUCAUCCAUCACAAACUCACAAGAAGCUGAAUGGUUGAAGUACUCAUCUUAUUGGCCAGACCCUGAUAAUCCAGAUCACCAUGGAUAGAAACAUAUAUAUUAGAGAUAAAAAAUUAAAAUAUUAAAAAAUAAAAUUAAAAAACUUAUAGACAACAUCAUUGUCAUCAUCAUUAGUACUUGAAGCCUCCAUCAAUUUUCCUUUCAACAAAUUAUAUAUCAUCCAUGUUAACUUUGCUUAUUUUCUUCCUAUUUUUCUUUAUUGUGCAUGACCUUGAUUUAGAUAUUAUUGGAACUAUAACAAUGUGGACCGUAUUUAAAACCUUUGUAACUAUUGUAUAGUGCAAUAGUCUCUAAAUAUUAGAUUUAGAGAGAAAAUAUUAUCACUCUCUAAAUCUAAUAUAUAGUUCUUGCCACUACUACACAAUAUAUCAAUUAUAAAAGUUCUAAGUUUGUGUGAACAA
RNA transcript from Cicer arietinum (chickpea), 1960 nucleotides. It is a transcript of the gene named NAC domain-containing protein, with no coding region annotated. The record is from RefSeq and is a predicted model, not a curated record. NCBI's taxonomy places the organism in Eukaryota, Viridiplantae, Streptophyta, Magnoliopsida, Fabales, Fabaceae.